This 167-nucleotide ribosomal RNA is filed under the name Escherichia coli. Its description in RNAcentral is "partial 16S ribosomal RNA". It matches the Rfam family "Bacterial small subunit ribosomal RNA", at positions 1 to 161 of the family's 1533-position model. Lineage: Bacteria; Pseudomonadati; Pseudomonadota; Gammaproteobacteria; Enterobacterales; Enterobacteriaceae. The record is from RNAcentral.
AAAUUGAAGAGUUUGAUCAUGGCUCAGAUUGAACGCUGGCGGCAGGCCUAACACAUGCAAGUCGAACGGUAACAGGAAGAAGCUUGCUUCUUUGCUGACGAGUGGCGGACGGGUGAGUAAUGUCUGGGAAACUGCCUGAUGGAGGGGGAUAACUACUGGAAACGGUA